GGGGGGGGGGGGGGGGGGGGGGGGGGGAGGCGGGGCGGGCGAGGGGGGGGGGAGCUGGGGCCGCGGACGUGGGCGGCGGACGGGGGGGUGACACGGGGAUAACCGAACUAUAAGACUGGGAGAACUUCGGGAAACCGGAGCUAAUACCGGAGAAUAUAUUGACCCGCAUGGGUCAAUAGUGCAAGCAGGUUUUGCUGUCACUUAUAGAUGGAUCCGCGCCGCAUUAGCUAGUUUGUAAGGGAACGGCUUACCAAGGCAACGAUGCGUAGCCGACCUGAGAGGGUGAUCGGCCACACUGGAACUGAGACACGGUCCAGACUCCUACGGGAGGCAGCAGUAGGGAAUCUCCCGCAAUGGGCGAAAGCCUGACGGAGCAACGCCGCGUGAGUGAUGAAGGUCUUCGGAUCGUAAAACUCUGUUAUUAGGGAAGAACAAAUGUGUAAGUAACUAUGCACGUCUUGACGGUACCUAAUCAGAAAGCCACGGCUAACUACGUG
Molecule: ribosomal RNA, 497 nt
Filed under: uncultured bacterium
Lineage: Bacteria
Description: partial 16S ribosomal RNA
Rfam family: Bacterial small subunit ribosomal RNA
Source: RNAcentral